This 84-nucleotide small RNA is filed under the name Epilithonimonas xixisoli. Its description in RNAcentral is "Chryseobacterium xixisoli Flavo-1 RNA". The record is from RNAcentral. Lineage: Bacteria; Pseudomonadati; Bacteroidota; Flavobacteriia; Flavobacteriales; Weeksellaceae.
CUGCAGCCCGAGCUGAGUGGAGCUCAUUUUUUGCGGUGGACUUAGCCUUGGCAAAAAAUAGCGGGAACGGAGCGCGGAUAAGCU